UUGACAGCCCUGGGAACUGAAGUUCUCUAGCCACAGACAAGGUACAGCAUGGGCAGUAGUAGUACACACUUCUCCAAGCUGUCCACCCAACUCUGUCUCAGAGGGCUGCAAAUGAAGUUUACCAUCCAUUUUCCUUCAGAGACAUAAAAGCAUCACUGGCAUCGUUGUUACGAUAUA
RNAcentral lists this small RNA (177 nucleotides) under Chrysemys picta bellii (western painted turtle). RNAcentral describes it as "TUC338 (ENSCPBG00000007074.1)". Lineage: Eukaryota; Metazoa; Chordata; Testudines; Emydidae. The record is from RNAcentral.